Molecule: non-coding RNA, 101 nt
Organism: Cladobotryum mycophilum
Lineage: Eukaryota; Fungi; Ascomycota; Sordariomycetes; Hypocreales; Hypocreaceae
Source: the annotation of a GenBank genome assembly
GGGCUGCACCGCGGAUCGAACGCGGGGCCUCUUGCAGGGGUGGCUUCUGAUUGGUCAGAAUUGAACCCAAAGCAAGAAUCAUACCACUAGACCAUGCAGCC